Molecule: long non-coding RNA, 344 nt
Filed under: Homo sapiens (human)
Lineage: Eukaryota; Metazoa; Chordata; Mammalia; Primates; Hominidae
Description: LHRI_LNC1851.1
Source: RNAcentral
CCGCGGUCCUGCUGCAGCCGUGAUGCCUGCGUUUCCCCCGCGGAUCCCCUUGCUCGCCCCGGUCUUCCUACCCCAGGUCCCGCGGUCACCGACUCUGCUGGGGUGUGCGGGUGAAGUGGGGCGCCCCGGCUCCCCUCACCCGGCCUGGAGACGAGCAACGAGCAGACGCCACUAAGUGCUUGCCGGCUGAGCGGGAAGCACCUUCCCCUGGGACCUGGCCGGUGUCUGCAGGCCCAGCGAUGCGGGGAGGCGGCCCCCGGGGCCCUGAAGUCAGGGAUAGGAGUUCGGGGAGAGAGGGGCGCAGGCCCAGGCAGCGGCAGAGCCGUCCCGGCGGAGGACCGCCC